This 100-nucleotide microRNA precursor is filed under the name Marmota monax (woodchuck). The record is from RNAcentral. Lineage: Eukaryota; Metazoa; Chordata; Mammalia; Rodentia; Sciuridae.
ACACAAAAUAUGUAUGUGUGUGUGUGUGUGUGUGUGUGUGUGUGUGUAUAUAUAUAUACACACACACACACACAUACACACACACACACACAUGUAUGUG